This 334-nucleotide unclassified non-coding RNA is filed under the name soil metagenome. RNAcentral's name for it is "partial contains 5.8S ribosomal RNA, internal transcribed spacer 2, and large subunit ribosomal RNA". The stretch from base 1 to 120 matches the Rfam family "5.8S ribosomal RNA", at positions 35 to 154 of the family's 154-position model. The record is from RNAcentral.
GAUGAAGAACGUAGCGAAAUGCGAUAAGUAGUGUGAAUUGCAGAAUUCAGUGAAUCAUCGAAUCUUUGAACGCACAUUGCGCCCCUUGGUAUUCCAUGGGGCAUGCCUGUUCGAGCGUCAUUUGUACCUUCAAGCUUUGCUUGGUGUUGGGUGUUUGUCCAUUCUCUUGCAGAGGGACUCGCCUUAAAGUAAUUGGCAGCCAGUGUUUUGGUUUUGAAGCGCAGCACAAGUCGCGAUUCAACGCUAGACGCCAGCUUCCACAAGCCUUUUUCACUUUUGACCUCGGAUCAGGUAGGGAUACCCGCUGAACUUAAGCAUAUCAAUAAGCGGAGGA